UCGAGAAUCUUCGGCAAUGGGCGCAAGCCUGACCGAGCGACGCCGCGUGUGCGAUGAAGGCCUUCGGGUUGUAAAGCACUGUCGAGGGGGAGGAAGCCGCAAGGUUGACCUAUCCCUGGAGGAAGCACGGGCUAAGUUCGUGCCAGCAGCCGCGGUAAGACGAACCGUGCGAACGUUAUUCGGAAUCACUGGGCUUAAAGGGCGCGUAGGCGGGCUAGCAAGUCAGGGGUGAAAUCCUUCGGCUCAACCGGAGAACUGCCUUUGAUACUGCUAGUCUCGAGGGAGGUAGGGGUCUGCGGAACUUCCGGUGGAGCGGUGAAAUGCGUUGAUAUCGGAAGGAACGCCGGUGGCGAAAGCGGCGGACUGGACCUCUUCUGACGCUGAGGCGCGAAAGCCAGGGGAGCAAACGG
RNAcentral lists this ribosomal RNA (410 nucleotides) under uncultured bacterium. RNAcentral describes it as "bacterial SSU rRNA". It matches the Rfam family "Bacterial small subunit ribosomal RNA", at positions 355 to 775 of the family's 1533-position model. The record is from RNAcentral.